CCUACGGGUGGCAGCAGUGGGGAAUAUUGCGCAAUGGGCGAAAGCCUGACGCAGCGACGCCGCGUGAGGGAUGAAGGUCUUCGGAUCGUAAACCUCUGUCAGCAGGGAAGAACGGUCACUGUGCUAAUCAGCAGUGAAUUGACGGUACCUGCAAAGGAAGCACCGGCUAACUCCGUGCCAGCAGCCGCGGUAAUACGGAGGGUGCGAGCGUUAAUCGGAAUUACUGGGCGUAAAGCGCUCGUAGGCGGUAUGUCAAGUCAAGGGUGAAAUCCCCGCGCUCAACGUGGGAACUGCCUUUGAAACUGGCAAACUGGAGUGUGUGAGAGGAGAGUGGAAUUCCAGGUGUAGGAGUGAAAUGCGUAGAGAUGUGGAGGAACAUCAGUGGCGAAGGCGACUAUCUGGCACAUAACUGACGCUGAGGAGCGAAAGCGUGGGUAGCAAACAGGAUUAGAUACCCGGGUAGUC
Molecule: ribosomal RNA, 465 nt
Filed under: uncultured bacterium
Lineage: Bacteria
Description: partial 16S ribosomal RNA
Rfam family: Bacterial small subunit ribosomal RNA
Source: RNAcentral